Molecule: long non-coding RNA, 1133 nt
Filed under: Equus caballus (horse)
Lineage: Eukaryota; Metazoa; Chordata; Mammalia; Perissodactyla; Equidae
Description: lncRNA (ENSECAG00000055074.1)
Source: RNAcentral
CAAGUGUUCCCACCAUCUAAGCACAUAUUGCAUUGGCCACAAAACAAAUAACAAUGUAAUUUCUUGGUACUUCUUUCAUUUUUCUAGAAUGUGGAAGAUUACACUUAUGAACUUGGCAUGUGAGAGGUCGCUGAGCCUCCUUGUUGAAUCUGAUAAAUUCAUUGUUGAUAUGUUACUUCUUAUUAAAAAAACAAGCCUGGCAAGCAGGAAUGAUAGUGUCAGUCAUAUACUUUCCUUAAAACUUUUUAUUUUUAUUUUUUGGAGAGGAAGAUUGGCCCUGAGCUAACAUCUAUUGCCAGUCUUUCUCAUUUUGCUUGAGGAAGAUUGUCCCUGAGCUAACAUCUGUGGCAAUCUUCCUCUAUUUUGUGUGUGGGACUCUGCCACAGCAUGGCUUGAUGAUCAGUGUGUAGGUCUGUGCCCAGGAUCCAAAUCUGCAAACUCUGGGCCCCUGAAGCGGGGCACGAAAACUUAACCACUACGCCACCAGGCUGGCCCCAAAACAUUUUUAUUAUGGAACUUCCAAACAUACAAAAUUAAAAGUUAUUACAAACUCAUGACAAUUCCCAGAUGCCAUAUUAUCUCAUCUGUAUUUCACUAAGUAUCUUUAAAAGAUAGGAACUAUUUUUAAAAACAUUGUAACCUCAAUACUAUUACACAUAACUACCAUGUAAUUCCUUAGUAUCACAGAUAUAUCUAGCUAGUCCUUAAAUUUCCUCAAAUGUUUAAUUUUCUUAAUAGUUGAUUUGUUUGAAUCAAGAACCAAACAAGUUCUACAAGUUUGCUCCCCUCCUUUUUUUCUCAAAUCUUUUUUUGUUGGUUUUCUGUGUGUGUUAUGUAUGUGUGUAUUCUAUUAUUUGGGCUUAACAAUGUAUCCCAGAAAUACCUCUGUAUCAGGAAAGAGAUCAUCCUCAUUUCUUUUGACGACUACCUUACUCCAUUGUUUGGAUGCUCAUGGUCAUGCAAACAGUUCUUCGUACACAUUCAUUCGGGUUGUUCCCAGAAUUUUGCCAUUACAUGCAGAGAAUAGCCAUGUGCAUAUGUUUUUUAAUACUUUUACAGUGUAUCUUUAGGAAGGUUUCCUACAGGUAGGACUGCUGGGUCAAAGGAAAAAUCUUGAUUAAUUUGUUAUUUGU